UACGUAGGGGGCGAGCGUUGUCCGGAUUUAUUGGGCGUAAAGCGCGCGCAGGCGGUUCUCUAAGGCUGGUGUGAAAGCUCCCGGCUCACCUGGGAGAGGGCAUUGGCGACUGGGGGACUGGAGCAAGGCAGAGGCCGGUGGAAUUCCCGGUGUAGUGGUGAAAUGCGUAGAGAUCGGGAGGAACACCAGAGGCGAAGGCGGCGACCUGGACAAGUACUGACACUCAACUACGAAAGCGUGGGGAGCAAACAGG
RNAcentral lists this ribosomal RNA (253 nucleotides) under uncultured bacterium. RNAcentral describes it as "partial 16S ribosomal RNA". It matches the Rfam family "Bacterial small subunit ribosomal RNA", at positions 524 to 776 of the family's 1533-position model. The record is from RNAcentral.